UCUUGGUCAUUUAGAGGAAGUAAAAGUCGUAACAAGGUUUCCGUAGGUGAACCUGCGGAAGGAUCAUUACAAAAUGUCUGGGAAGUCCAUUUGGACCCCCAAGCAAAACACAUUCAUGUGUACUCUCCCAUGUUGCUUCCCCAGACCAGUGGCCACUGCUGCCAGCCCAUCCCUUAAUGGGUCUCCUGGGUUGAGGUGUCUGGGGAAGGGCCUAAUAUUAAACUUUUGAACCAACCUAUUGUCUGAGAAGGCCAUAUGCCGUAAUAUAUAAACUUGUUAAAACUUUCAACAACGGAUCUCUUGGCUCUCGCAUCGAUGAAGAACGCAGCGAAAUGCGAUAAGUAAUGUGAAUUGCAGAAUUCAGUGAAUCAUCGAAUCUUUGAACGCACAUUGCGCCCUUUGGCAUUCCUUAGGGCAUGCCUGUUCGAGCGUCACUAAAAACCCCCUCACACAUAAUGUGGUAUUGGUAGAAGUGGAUAGUACUAACACUACUUUCUCUCACUCUACUGAAAUGAAUAGGCCAGAGAAGUAGACCAUGGUAAUAGACUCCAGGAGUGUUUUAAAAUGCUAAACUAGUCUUAUCCAAGUCAUGUUCUGAGCUACUGGACCCCCCCAUUUAGUCCAAACCAAAGAGGUUGACCUCGGAUCAGGUAGGGAUACCCGCUGAACUUAAGCAUAUCAAUAAGCGGAGGAA
This 694-nucleotide ribosomal RNA is filed under the name uncultured fungus. RNAcentral describes it as "eukaryotic LSU rRNA". The stretch from base 281 to 434 matches the Rfam family "5.8S ribosomal RNA". The record is from RNAcentral. Lineage: Eukaryota; Fungi.